GGUAAUGCCGGAUGCUCCAGUUGACCGCAUGGUCCUCUGGGAAAGCUUUUGCGGUAUGGGAUGGGGUCGCGUCCUAUCAGCUUGAUGGCGGGGUAACGGCCCACCAUGGCUUCGACGGGUAGCCGGCCUGAGAGGGCGACCGGCCACAUUGGGACUGAGAUACGGCCCAGACUCCUACGGGAGGCAGCAGUGGGGAAUAUUGCACAAUGGGCGCAAGCCUGAUGCAGCGACGCCGCGUGCGGGAUGACGGCCUUCGGGUUGUAAACCGCUUUUGACUGGGAGCAAGCCCUUCGGGGUGAGUGUACCUUUCGAAUAAGCACCGGCUAACUACGUGCCAGCAGCCGCGGUAAUACGUAGGGUGCAAGCGUUAUCCGGAAUUAUUGGGCGUAAAGGGCUCGUAGGCGGUUCGUCGCGUCCGGUGUGAAAGUCCAUCGCUUAACGGUGGAUCCGCGCCGGGUACGGGCGGGCUUGAGUGCGGUAGGGGAGACUGGAAUUCCCGGUGUAACGGUGGAAUGUGUAGAUAUCG
This 526-nucleotide ribosomal RNA is filed under the name Bifidobacterium adolescentis. RNAcentral's name for it is "partial 16S ribosomal RNA". It matches the Rfam family "Bacterial small subunit ribosomal RNA", at positions 162 to 699 of the family's 1533-position model. The record is from RNAcentral. Lineage: Bacteria; Bacillati; Actinomycetota; Actinomycetes; Bifidobacteriales; Bifidobacteriaceae.